GGCUGUACCUGUGGUAUAUGGAGGCUAGGAGUCGAAUCAGAGCUGCAAUGCUGACCACAUCCACAGCAACUUAGAUCUAAGCCUCGUCUGUGACCUACACCCACAGCUCACUGGAUCCCCAACCCACUGAGCAAGGCCAGGGAUCGAACCCACAUCCUCAGGGAUACUGGCUGGAUUCAUUACCUCUGAGCCACAACAGGAACUCCAAGAUUGCUUUAUACAAUAGUGACUACGCAAAAAAAACAUGUAGCAAGAACUUGGAGGGUGUCAGGUAUGCAGGAUGCUAUUUCUUAAUGAAAAUGUCUGUGGAUAUAUUUCAGUAGGGUGUUCUAAAUAUAUUUUUAAAACAUGGUGAGGCACAUUGAACAGGGUAGCUAGGGGCUAUUUUACAGCUUUUUAAAAGAAAUCCUGACAGAUCAAAGCUUUUGUCUGUAGAUAAUAAUGAACCUUUAUCUGAGAGUAUCACAUAUGCAUCAUUCUAUGUGCCAAAUGCCACAGCCUCAGGAAACCAGCUGCCCGCAGCCUUGUAAAUCAAAGUUUAUUCGCUUCCUCAUUUUCUGUCAUGAACUCCCUAGUCAUACGCUGUCACAGCAAUUCACUUCACAUUUUAAAAAUAAAGGUUUGUUUCAUGGAGCCUUGAUGAGUCCCAUCUGAAAACCAUUAAAAACAUCCACACCCACUUCCACACAAACCAGAAAAUCCGUAGAAUUCAGACUCAUUAAGUCUGGAAGCUGGAAAUGAUCCUAGCAACAAAUAAUUUACACUUCCCAUUAUGGACAGAAAGAAAGUAGAGAGGUCUGGUGAUCUGGCCACUGUCAUUCGAAGCAGUCAACUGGGCACUGCUGGGACCAGAACCCUGGUUUCCUAUUCCCUCUGGGUUCUCCCUGCUUCACCACGCCUCGGGUCUGGCUCUGAAGUUAGUGAAUCCCCCUUGAUACUCUCCAAGCCUGUCAGUGAGUCAUGUUUCCGUUUCCACACGCUGUUCCAAGUGGCCUUUAGGAGCACAGAGUUCAUUCAUUCACCGUAACUCGUACAGAGAGGACCGGCACACUCAGCAGUUUUGACUCACACGCCACCUUCAAAUCGGUGAAGCCAAUGGCCAACUAAAUCUAAAAAGAAAAAGAAAUCUAACUCUUGGCACUUAAAAUACUUCCUUUCAACCUACUGUAAAACAACAGCCUAUUUAGGAGAUGAAAAGUGAGUCACUGCUUUCAUCCAGCAGACAGGCUCCCCAGGCACAAACUCAUGCACAUUAUAACAUUAUACUUCAUGGGGCCUUUUAAAUAUUUACUUGUUAGCAGUAUUCUUCCUUUCAGGUCAAAGAUUAUAGUACUUAGCAACACAAAGAAAGCAGAGGGAUAUAGUUAUGAAUUAGUAAACUGCUUUGCCAAGCCUUCCAUUUGUUAAUUCAGUCCAACUUCAAAGAGGAGUUUAAAAAGAGGUUCAGCUGUCAGAAAUUAACCCUCAGAAAAUUACUGAAUCAAAAAGUGACUUGGCCAGUCUUUCCCAAACUGCUGUUAAGGAAAGAAAUGCUCAGUUGUAGGUACAGAAGCAUAAAGCCUCUUCCUAUGCAAGUAAUUUAUUUGAUCAUUUUUAUUAUCUGAAGGGGGGCAGUAGGGAUUAAAAUUUGAGAAAACACCCUGCCCUGGUUCUUCCUUUCCAGCAACAGAGUGGAGAAAGGGCUUUUCUAAUAGCACCAUAUAUUCUUCUUCUUCAGUGGCAUAGACUCUGAUUCACAGCUAUUUCAGGAGAAGGUCAAAGUCUGUCAAGUCAGAGGGGAAUGGGGAGGAGGAGCCCAUACAGAGCUAAAUCCCUGAGAGCUUAAUUUCUCCUGGCCCCCAGCGUGGCCAGUUCCUUUGGGCUUCCAAAAUCGAAACGGCCCUCUGGCUCUCAGUGAAAACAGCCUCGUUACCUGUUCCUGCGGCCUGACUCCAAGUGGCCGUGCACUUUCCCUGAACUCUUUGAUGUGCCUGCUCAAGUCUGUUUCAAUGGGCUUUCACCAUGGCUGUACAUCAGAAUCACCUAGGGAGCUUUUAACUCUACAGAUGUACGGGCUCAAUGCCAGGUCUACAGAAUCCAACAUGAUUCCCAAAGAGCAGCAGCCGGAGCCGAAAACCACUGUUCUGCUUCCUACAAAGUUGAAGUCGAUAGGCAAAGGACUGAUGGUGCAUGGACCGAACACUGAGCACACUGACAUUAAUAAGUGAAGGGCUUCAUAGCAAGAUUUUCAUCAGUCCCCAAGUUUACAAAUCGACGGCAUUCACAGGUGGCCUUUUUUCUUUUCUGGGCUAUUUUCACAAAGAAAUAAACAGGUGUUACUUUGAGAGGAGUAGGUGCUUAAAACAAAGCCAUCCAGGAGCAGAAGGCUGUGGCUGGUUCACAUGAGUGAAGUCCCUGCUCCCCACACAGCCCACCCAAGACACGACCCUAACUGGGGACUCAUUUCAUCACAUGUCUUGAACCUUUGGAGACCACCUGAGAAAGUCAGUACCAGGAGUGUUCGCUAAGCUAAAGCCAAGACUACUGUGUGCUACACAGCACAGCAAAUCCACCUCUAGAGGGAGCUUCAUAAGUGGCUCCAUCACUGACAUGAGACAGAAAGUGACU
RNAcentral lists this long non-coding RNA (2607 nucleotides) under Sus scrofa (pig). RNAcentral's name for it is "lncRNA (ENSSSCG00000059220.1)". Lineage: Eukaryota; Metazoa; Chordata; Mammalia; Artiodactyla; Suidae. The record is from RNAcentral.